AUUGAACACUGGCGGCAGGCUUAACACAUGCAAGUCGAGCGGUAGCACAGGGGAGCUUGCUCCCUGGGUGACGAGCGGCGGACGGGUGAGUAAUGUCUGGGAAACUGCCUGAUGGAGGGGGAUAACUACUGGAAACGGUAGCUAAUACCGCAUAACGUCGCAAGACCAAAGAGGGGGACCUUCGGGCCUCUUGCCAUCAGAUGUGCCCAGAUGGGAUUAGCUAGUAGGUGGGGCAAUGGCUCACCUAGGCGACGAUCCCUAGCUGGUCUGAGAGGAUGACCAGCCACACUGGAACUGAGACACGGUCCAGACUCCUACGGGAGGCAGCAGUGGGGAAUAUUGCACAAUGGGCGCAAGCCUGAUGCAGCCAUGCCGCGUGUGUGAAGAAGGCCUUCGGGUUGUAAAGCACUUUCAGCGAGGAGGAAGGUGGUGAGCUUAAUACGUUCAUCAAUUGACGUUACUCGCAGAAGAAGCACCGGCUAACUCCGUG
RNAcentral lists this ribosomal RNA (490 nucleotides) under uncultured bacterium. Its description in RNAcentral is "partial 16S ribosomal RNA". It matches the Rfam family "Bacterial small subunit ribosomal RNA", at positions 30 to 507 of the family's 1533-position model. The record is from RNAcentral.